AAGUCUCUUUGCAUAGGCGCCGUUUCACAUUUUUGUUUGAACUUCACUCUCUCAGAAUUGGGUCUCUGUCUCCCAUUCCCCAUCUUCGAUUCUUCUCUGUGUCUCCCAAGUUCGAACUCCGUUGCUCUCUCAGUCUCUCAGGAAAUGGAAUUGAACAUGAUUUCAGGAAAUGGAAAUGCAUUUGGAAUUAGUUCAGUGCCUGGUCGUGCAUCUUCUGGAAAUGGAACAUGAUUGUGGGGCUCUACAAUUAUGGUUUGGCCGUGGUCACAAUGGAAACUGGUCUGCUAGAGAAGUUGACAGUCUUGCAGACCAAGAGAAACCUAUCCAGACACUGUCUAGAAUCCAUGAUUGUCAAUAGCCUAGGACUCGGAUUGGCCCUGCUUUUUGGCAUUGUAUUAUUGGCUGCCGUUUUAAGUGAAGUGGCUACCUUUUCACUGCAGCCGCCAUCUGCUUGAUGGAAUGGGCAACAGAUCACAUGGACACACACGAACACAUUUGUUUUCUAAUCUGGAUCUUAGCACUGCAAAAAACUAUUGCUGACAGUUUGAUUAGUUUGUAUACAGACUGUUUGGCUGGUUUAGGCGAGAAUUUCUUGAAGAUUGGGAAGAUUACUCCAUUCUGAGUGUGGAAAUAUUAAAGCUUGCGUCAUUUUGUAGUUUGGUGAUAUUAGCAAGCGAGAAUUCCCGGUAAUGGGUGGUAAAAGUAUGUUUAAAUGGCCUAAACAAAUAACGCCUUCCCUAGUUGAGAAGUUGAUACGGGCAGAAAAGGACGUACAGAAAGCUACUCUAAUAUUUGAUUCGGGGACAGCUGAGUAUGUUAAUGGGUUUCGGCAUGAUCAUAAUACCUUUGGUGCAAUGAUCUCCAAAUUAGUUUCCGCAAACCAGUUCAGACCGGCGGAGGAGCUCCUUAAUAGAAUGAAGGAGGAAAAGUGUAGUAUUACCGAAGAUAUAUUCCUCUCCCUGUGCAGAGCCUUCGGUCGGGUUCACAGGCCCCUGGAUGCCAUUAGGGUCUUUAACAAGAUGGAGGAAUUCCAGUGCAAACCCAGUGAGAAAUCUUACAUUACAGUUUUUGCAAUUCUUGUUGAAGAAAACCAGUUAAAGAUGGCUAUAAAAUUUUAUAGGCAUAUGAGAGGUGUGGGUAUACCUCCUUGUGUUGCUUCCCUUAAUGUUUUGAUUAAAGCCCUUUGCAAGAACAGCGGGACAAUGGAAGCUGCUUUUCGAAUAUUUCGAGAGAUGCCCAAUCGUGGUUGUACUCCAGAUUCAUAUACGUAUGGUACCCUGAUUAAUGGGUUGUGUCGAUUGGGAAAGGUUGGAGAAGCAAAGGAGUUAUUAAAAGAGAUGGAGACAAAGGGUUGUUUGCCCAGUGUUGUGACGUAUACUUCUUUGAUUCAUGGUUUGUGCCAGUCUGGAAGUUUGGAUGAAGCUGUUGGAUUGCUCGAAGAGAUGAAGAUCAGAGAAAUUGAGCCAAAUGUGUUUACCUAUAGUGCUUUAAUGGAUGGUCUUUGCAAGGGUGGGCGUUCUUCACAAGCCAUGGAGCUCCUGGAGAUGAUGAUUAGCAAACGGCAUAGGCCCAAUAUGAUAACUUAUAGCACUUUAAUUCAUGGACUCUGUAAAGAUGGAAAGCUUCGAGAAGCUUUGGAGAUUCUUGACAGGAUGAAACUUCAUGGACUGAAACCAGAUGCAGGGUUGUAUGGUAAAAUCAUUAGUGGCUUCUGUGACAUCUGCAAGUUCCAGGAAGCUGCAAACUUCCUUGAUGAAAUGGUCCUUGGGGGAAUCUCACCGAACCGAUUAACUUGGAGCCUUCACGUUAAGAUUUAUAACAUGGUGGUCCAAGGCCUUUGUACUAAUGGUGAUCCAAAUCGAGCUUUUCAGUUAUACCUUAGUAUGCGAACUAGGGGUAUCUCAAUUGAUACUGGAACAUUUGAUUUUCUGAUUAAGUGUUUUUCUAAGAGAGGAGACUUACAUAAGGCUGCUCGCAUCAUCGAUGAAAUGGUGAUCGAUGGGUGUCUUCCAACUGAGGGAACGUGGAGUGCAGUUUUUGGUGGAUUUUGGGAUCGAAGGAAGGUGCGGGAAGAUGCUGAGUUUUUGCAGGACAAGCUAAUGAGUGAAUUUGUUGAGCCAGAAUUACAAUUCUGAGCUUUAGUUUAUAGGAUCUGUAUACAAGAAGUUACAUGAAGCAGGACAAAUUUAGAGAAUCUCUUCAUUCCUUCUUUGGUGGGCUUAAGGUUUUGGAAAAUUAGUUGAUCAAGGACUUAGAAUUGUGUAAGGAUGUGUUAGGGUUUAUCAGUUUUUUCUCUCCUGUUUCAGUCAUGGUUCUCAAGGGUUUAUGUUUCGAUUCAUCCUGAUGCUGGGAAUGUGCCUAAAUCUCCCAAAAACUCAGUGUAUGGAAAUAAGCAAGCUUUUUCAGGUUUCAGGAAGGAUGGUGGGACAGGUUAGCUGUGCCUCAAAGAAUUCAGGGCACGUGCCUCAAGGGAUCACUAUAGCCCACAGAGUUUUAAGGGAGGCUAUAGUGUUGGUUCUCCAUGAAGUCUUAAAAAGAGAGGGGGAAGCCAAUUCCAUGGCGCUUGGUAGGAAACACAACAAACAUCAUACUGCAAAUGACACCUAUUCCUACUGGCAGUCUUGUAAGAAUCUCCUGGGUCACAUAUGACGGCAUUGGGAAGAAGCAUCUCACCACAUUCUUAUCAAAGAGCGCUACAGCUAUGAAUACCAGUAUUGACAUGAAGGCGUGCAUGAAAUCUAUGAAGCGCAGCCGGUACUUUGCAGCAAGUUCAGGUGAAAGUUUGGCUGUUCCAUCAAUGAUCCACAGGCCCCUGGAAAGUGGCAAACCCAUAACAAACAUUCCCCUUUUUGUCCUUGAAGCUGUCAGUGAAGCAUAGUAGGAAACAUGAGACCCCACAGAGAGUCACGAGUGCAGCAGUCAUGAACCGGCCGACUGAGUCACAAUUGCCUUCAUUUGUGAAAAUUGGUGAUAGAAGUUGGAAAGCCAGGACUGAUCCAGUCGGUAAAAGAUUGGCCAAAUGAGCUGUGCUCUGAAAUGUCUGGCUAAUGGCUUUCUGUAUCGGUGUUUUCUCCUCUUUUUCAGAUCCAUCUUGCAAGAGCGGAUGUUUUGAUUCAUCAUGAUUCUUGGAAUCAGAUUGUACCUUAAUCUCCAUAGCAUCGAAUCUUUCACUUCUCUUUUCCCUU
RNA transcript from Carya illinoinensis, 3185 nucleotides. It is a transcript of the gene named pentatricopeptide repeat-containing protein At5g46100, with no coding region annotated. The record is from RefSeq and is a predicted model, not a curated record. The transcript has 5 exons. Lineage: Eukaryota; Viridiplantae; Streptophyta; Magnoliopsida; Fagales; Juglandaceae.